AACGGACAGACAGAGAGCUUGCUCUCUUGAAGUUAGUGGCGAACGGGUGAGUAACGCGUAAUCAACCUGCCCUUCAGAGGGGGAUAACAACGGGAAACCGUUGCUAAUACCGCGUACGAUUCAUAGGCGGCAUCGCUUGUGAAUGAAAGGUGGCCUCUAUAUAUAAGCUAUCGCUGAAGGAGGGGAUUGCGUCUGAUUAGCUAGUUGGAGGGGUAACGGCCCACCAAGGCAAUGAUCAGUAGCCGGUCUGAGAGGAUGAACGGCCACAUUGGGACUGAGACACGGCCCAAACUCCUACGGGAGGCAGCAGUGGGGAAUCUUCCGCAAUGGACGAAAGUCUGACGGAGCAACGCCGCGUGAGUGAUGAAGGUCUUCGGAUUGUAAAGCUCUGUUAAUCGGGACGAAAGAGUUCUGUGUGAAUAAUGCAGAAAAGUGACGGUACCGGAAUAGAAAGCCACGGCUAACUACGUGCCAGCAGCCGCGGUAAUACGUAGGUGGCAAGCGUUGUCCGGAAUUAUUGGGCGUAAAGCGCGCGCAGGCGGCCUAUCCAGUCUGUCUUAAAAGUUCGGGGCUCAACCCCGUGAUGGGAUGGAAACUAGUAGGCUAGAGUAUCGGAGAGGAAAGCGGAAUUCCUAGUGUAGCGGUGAAAUGCGUAGAUAUUAGGAAGAACACCAGUGGCGAAGGCGGCUUUCUGGACGAAAACUGACGCUGAGGCGCGAAAGCCAGGGGAGCGAACGGGAUUAGAUACCCCGGUAGUCCUGGCCGUAAACGAUGGGUACUAGGUGUAGGAGGUAUCGACCCCUUCUGU
This 808-nucleotide ribosomal RNA is filed under the name uncultured Veillonellaceae bacterium. Its description in RNAcentral is "bacterial SSU rRNA". It matches the Rfam family "Bacterial small subunit ribosomal RNA", at positions 65 to 844 of the family's 1533-position model. The record is from RNAcentral. Lineage: Bacteria; Bacillati; Bacillota; Negativicutes; Veillonellales; Veillonellaceae.